AGAGUUUGAUCAUGGCUCAGGAUAAACGCUGGCGGCGCACAUAAGACAUGCAAGUCGAACGGACUUAAUCGAUUCUUUUAGAUUCGAAGCGGUUAGUGGCGGACUGGUGAGUAACACGUAAGCAACCUGCCUAUUAGAGGGGAAUAACAGUGAGAAAUCACUGCUAAAACCGCAUAUGCCGUGAACAUCGCAUGAUGAAAACGGGAAAAGAGCAAUCUGCUAAUAGAUGGGCUUGCGUCUGAUUAGCUAGUUGGUGUGGUAAAGGCAUACCAAGGCAACGAUCAGUAGCCGGACUGAGAGGUUGAACAGCCACAUUGGGACUGAGAUACGGCCCAGACUCCUACGGGAGGCAGCAGUCGGGAAUAUUGCGCAAUGGAGGAAACUCUGACGCAGUGACGCCGCGUAUGGGAAGAAGGUUUUCGGAUUGUAAACCAUUUUAGACAAGGAAGAAACAAGACAGUACUUGUAGAAUAAGCUCCGG
RNAcentral lists this ribosomal RNA (481 nucleotides) under uncultured bacterium. RNAcentral's name for it is "bacterial SSU rRNA". It matches the Rfam family "Bacterial small subunit ribosomal RNA", at positions 8 to 496 of the family's 1533-position model. The record is from RNAcentral.